RNAcentral lists this unclassified non-coding RNA (358 nucleotides) under soil metagenome. RNAcentral describes it as "partial contains 5.8S ribosomal RNA, internal transcribed spacer 2, and large subunit ribosomal RNA". The stretch from base 1 to 120 matches the Rfam family "5.8S ribosomal RNA", at positions 35 to 154 of the family's 154-position model. The record is from RNAcentral.
GAUGAAGAACGUAGCGAAAUGCGAUAAGUAAUGUGAAUUGCAGAAUUCAGUGAAUCAUCGAAUCUUUGAACGCACAUUGCGCCCGCCAGUAUUCUGGCGGGCAUGCCUGUCCGAGCGUCAUUUCAACCCUCGAACCCCUCCGGGGGGUCGGCGUUGGGGACCUCGGGAGCCCCUAAGACGGGAUCCCGGCCCCGAAAUACAGUGGCGGUCUCGCCGCAGCCUCUCCUGCGCAGUAGUUUGCACAACUCGCACCGGGAGCGCGGCGCAUCCACGUCCGUAAAACACCCAACUUCUGAAAUGUUGACCUCGGAUCAGGUAGGAAUACCCGCUGAACUUAAGCAUAUCAAUAAGCGGAGGA